GUCGCCGUAACAAUGCACGGACGUCGCGACCCGUUCGGUGUCGGUCCUACUCAUAGGAGACGUGUGAAAGUUCGUGAACGCGUGUCGGCUCGUCUGGCGCGCGUUCGCGAGUCCGCGUUUUUUUUUCUGGCCGACUCGCCGGACGGUAUGCGUAACGGUGGCCGCGGCGACCUUUCCAGCGUCGUCGUUCGGUACCGGUCCGCGACGAAUCUUCGGGCCUCUUUCCGACCCGUCUUGAAACACGGACCAAGGAGUCUAACGUGCGCGCGAGUCGCGGGGUGUCGAGUGGUUGGCGGUCGUCUUCGGGCGUUCGUCGGGCCACUCGUUACAAUACGAAACCCGUCUCGUUUUACGAAAGGCGCAAUGAAAGUGAAUUUAGGGGAAGAUGACGUUACCGAGUUCACGUUCCGCGCUCUCGAAGCGCGGCCGGUCGUCCGCAUUCCCAGGGCGUCCCAACGGCCCGGCGGCGUUGCGGACCGCCGUCUCUUCGGAGGCGGUGGUCGGGCGUCGUCGAACCGGGGCGCACCUAUAGCGUGCACGUUGGUACCCGAAAGAUGGUGAACUAUGCCCGGCCAGGAUGAAGUCAGGGG
RNAcentral lists this ribosomal RNA (590 nucleotides) under Paracoccus burnerae. RNAcentral's name for it is "eukaryotic LSU rRNA". It matches the Rfam family "Eukaryotic large subunit ribosomal RNA", at positions 476 to 858 of the family's 3401-position model. The record is from RNAcentral. Lineage: Eukaryota; Metazoa; Arthropoda; Insecta; Hemiptera; Pseudococcidae.